This 519-nucleotide ribosomal RNA is filed under the name Salmonella sp. XN2. RNAcentral describes it as "partial 23S ribosomal RNA". It matches the Rfam family "Bacterial large subunit ribosomal RNA", at positions 293 to 722 of the family's 2925-position model. The record is from RNAcentral. Lineage: Bacteria; Pseudomonadati; Pseudomonadota; Gammaproteobacteria; Enterobacterales; Enterobacteriaceae.
AGGAGCCCAGAGCCUGAAUCAGCAUGUGUGUUAGUGGAAGCGUCUGGAAAGGCGCGCGAUACAGGGUGACAGCCCCGUACACAAAAGCGCAUGUGCUGUGAGCUCGAUGAGUAGGGCGGGACACGUGAUAUCCUGUCUGAAUAUGGGGGGACCAUCCUCCAAGGCUAAAUACUCCUGACUGACCGAUAGUGAACCAGUACCGUGAGGGAAAGGCGAAAAGAACCCCGGCGAGGGGAGUGAAAAAGAACCUGAAACCGUGUACGUACAAGCAGUGGGAGCCCCACCACUAAGCCAGUGGUGAACUCCACAUACGCAUCCUUUGCUGAGGAUACGGUUAACGGAGCGAAAGCGACGUUCAACCUCAAAAGAAGCAGAGGGGGCUUAGUGGUGGGGUGACUGCGUACCUUUUGUAUAAUGGGUCAGCGACUUAUAUUCUGUAGCAAGGUUAACCGAAUAGGGGAGCCGCAGGGAAACCGAGUCUUAACCGGGCGUUAAGUUGCAGGGUAUAGACCCGAAACC